Molecule: ribosomal RNA, 373 nt
Filed under: uncultured bacterium
Lineage: Bacteria
Description: bacterial SSU rRNA
Rfam family: Bacterial small subunit ribosomal RNA
Source: RNAcentral
AACGAACGCUGGCGGCAUGCCUAACACAUGCAAGUCGAACGAAGUCUUCGGACUUAGUGGCGCACGGGUGCGUAACGCGUGGGAAUCUGCCCUUGGGUGCGGAAUAACUUCUCGAAAGGGAUGCUAAUACCGCAUAAUGUCGUAAGACCAAAGAUUUAUCGCCCAAGGAUGAGCCCGCGUAAGAUUAGCUAGUUGGUGGGGUAAAAGCCUACCAAGGCGACGAUCUUUAGCUGGUCUGAGAGGAUGAUCAGCCACACUGGACUGAGACACGGCCCAGACUCCUACGGGAGGCAACAGUGGGGAAUAUUGGACAAUGGGCGAAAGCCUGAUCCAGCAAUGCCGCGUGAGUGAUGAAGGCCCUAGGGUUGUAAAG